GUUUGAUCCUGGCUCAGAUUGAACGCUGGCGGUAGGCUUAACACAUGCAAGUCGAGCGGUAACAGACAUUUUGAUUUUGCUUGCAAAAUCUCGUGCUGACGAGCGGCGAACGGGUGAGUAACGCGUAGGAAUCUACUUAGUAGAAGGGGAUAGCCCGAGGAAACUCGGAUUAAUACCGUAUACGUCCUUAGGGAGAAAGAGGGCUUAGCUUUGAUGCUCUCGCUAUUAGAUGAGCCUGCGUAAGAUUAGCUUGUUGGUGAGGUAAAGGCUCACCAAGGCGACGAUCUUUAGCUGGUCUGAGAGGACGAUCAGCCACGUUGGGACUGAGACACGGCCCAGACUCCUACGGGAGGCAGCAGUGGGGAAUAUUGGACAAUGGGCGCAAGCCUGAUCCAGCCAUACCGCGUGUGUGAAGAAGGCCUUCGGGUUGUAAAGCACUUUAAGUAAGGAAGAAAAGAAUAUUGUUAAUACCAAUACUCCGUGACAUUACUUACAGAAUAAGGACCGGCUAAUUCCGUGCCAGCAGCCGCGGUAAUACGGAAGGUCCAAGCGUUAAUCGGAAUUACUGGGCGUAAAGCGCGCGUAGGUGGUUUAUUAAGUUGGGUGUGAAAGCCCCGGGCUCAACCUGGGAACUGCAUCCAAAACUGAUUCACUAGAGUACGAAAGAGGAAAGUAGAAUUCACAGUGUAGCGGUGGAAUGCGUAGAUAUUGUGAAGAAUACCGAUGGCGAAGGCAGCUUUCUGGUUCUGUACUGACACUGAGGUGCGAAAGCGUGGGUAGCGAACAGGAUUAGAUACCCUGGUAGU
This 806-nucleotide ribosomal RNA is filed under the name uncultured bacterium. RNAcentral's name for it is "bacterial SSU rRNA". It matches the Rfam family "Bacterial small subunit ribosomal RNA", at positions 11 to 794 of the family's 1533-position model. The record is from RNAcentral.